AUGGGCAAGGCCACAUCUUCAAAUGAGGCAAGGGGCAGCACUUCUCUAAGGAGGGGCGGGCCGACCCCCACCCCGGCCCGCCGUGCUGUUCAGCGGACUGGCCACUGGAGGGCAGUGCGACCACGUCCAUCGCGCCCCUGCUCGGGCCGCAGGCGGGAGCAGCCCUCGGAGCAGCCGGGGAAGGCGGCUGCGGUGGCUUCAGCCAGGAGAGAAGACAUCGAAAGGGAUCGCGGCCCAGGCUGCGGCGUCAGCUCACCGGCCUCAGACGUUCUCAAAGGCCAAAGGGGCCCCGCCGGCGCGCACCUGCGGCCCGGGUAUCGCCGAGGGGUAUCGCCGGGUAUCGCCAAGGCCCGGCCAGCCGCCUGCAAGGCCAGGAGCAGAAAGCCGCGGGCAGCAGACGUAGCUGCUAGUGGUCAUCAGGUGUUUGGGGCAAGCUGAGCGCCUGGAUCCCAGACAAGCGUGUAUCCAAGUGUCCUAUGGUGUUGCUCACAGCAUGCAGUGCAGCUUCUUCACAGGCUGCCAGUCUCCAAGCCGGGUCAAGGACAAGCAGGCUGGAGCAGAAUCCAAGUAGUCACCCCUUUCAGGCCCUCUCCACGUGAGGACUUUGCCAUUCAAGGAGCCAGAGGACUUGCUGGGCCCGCUGCCCCUGUGGUCUUAUACCUGAUCUGGUUCAUACAUUGAUCUUGGCUCUCUGUGAUUGGGUACUUCUCAGCUUCCAGAAUAUUCUUGCUUCUAAAUAUCAGCCCUUCAAGGUCCAGCUUAAAUAUCAGCUCCACCAGUAAGCCUUCCUCCAUACUCCCCUCUUUGUUUUCAGCAGUGCCUGUCUUUUCCGUCCCUGCCCACCUGUAGUGCCAGUUGGCCUCUGCUGUGGAACUCUCCUCUUUUCUUCUCUGCACCCUCCCCCCACUGAAUUGUGGGCACCUGGAGGGUGGGGACAGUGUGACGGUGGUCUUUGCAUCCCCCAUGGUGCCUUGCACAAGUGGGUCAUUCCAGAAAGGGUGGUUGCAAGAGAAUCAUGAAAUUAUUGAAUGGGUUUUGGUGUUGUAAACAACUUCCCAAACAUUUUGAACCUUGAGCAAAGAAACAUGUAAUGGUGUUUUCUUAAGCCCUGUCAUGGAAUCCUUUUGUGUGUUUAAUUGCUUUGUUAUUUUUAAUGGAAACGUCUGGGUGCCAUAGGAACAAAAACCAUGGGUCCAAGCUCUACCAAGGGGACGAACCACAGGGCUCCACACUGUGUGGCCUUGGGGUCGGAGCCUGUGACAUGGGAUGGCAGGCAGCAGGCCAGUCCCCAAGGAGCAGCCAGCCAAGGAAGGCCUGUGCCUCUGGCUGGGUUUGAGGUCAUGAUUUCAGGCUGAGAUCUCAGGAUGAGGUAGAAAAGAAGGUGCCUGGAGAGUCUUGGAGAAGGCCAAAGCUCAAGGAAGACUCUUUUUUUUUUCUUUUCCUUUUAAAAGAAAAAGCCAGCGUGCCCCAUGAAGGACUCCAGAAAACCCCUUUCAUGCCUCACUCACAGAUGAUUUGCUGAAGGCUCAUUAAGGGGAAAACAAAGAGGUGGUUUUGUUUAUUUAUUUAAGAGGAAAAAUAAAUGAGCUGUGACAAAACAA
RNAcentral lists this long non-coding RNA (1601 nucleotides) under Sus scrofa (pig). RNAcentral describes it as "lncRNA (ENSSSCG00030024658.1)". Lineage: Eukaryota; Metazoa; Chordata; Mammalia; Artiodactyla; Suidae. The record is from RNAcentral.